Molecule: ribosomal RNA, 94 nt
Filed under: Clostridium botulinum
Lineage: Bacteria; Bacillati; Bacillota; Clostridia; Eubacteriales; Clostridiaceae
Source: RNAcentral
UCUGGUGAUUAUGGCUUGAAGGUAACACCCGUUCCCAUGCCGAACACGAAGGUUAAGCUUCAAAGCGCUGAUGGUACUGCAGGGGAAGCCCUGU